This is a long non-coding RNA of Brienomyrus brachyistius, 2431 nucleotides long. RefSeq lists it as uncharacterized. The transcript is spliced from 3 exons. The record is from RefSeq and is a predicted model, not a curated record. Lineage: Eukaryota; Metazoa; Chordata; Actinopteri; Osteoglossiformes; Mormyridae.
UUUCACCGCAAUUAAAAAAAUAAAAAAACUUUCCAGACAAUCCCUUACUGCAGGGAUCGGAAUCCCUUUUUGUCCUUAAGCAUUAAUCCUACUUUCUUCAUGUUGAGAGAGAAAGAAGUGUAUAGAAAACAUCCACAUUUAACCUAAGAUAUGACUAAUUGUACGUGUCUGGGCUGGGGAAACCGGGCAGCGUAUACGCUAGGAGUACAAUUAAGCUAGUUAUUUUAUGUGUAAUUUAUAAAUACUUUUCAAAAUCUGAUGUCAAUGACCGCAAGGUGACAGAUGAUCAAAUAUCAAACCAAAAGCUAGGAAUAUAUCAUACACAGGUUAGCUAGUUUUUUUUCUUAUAACAAAACAAAUAAAGUAAUACAGUACCUGUUAAAUAUAAAUGCCACGGCGUGAUUUUGAAAACAGAAAACAGAUAAAUCGCUGUUGCUAACGCUUUCGAUUAUUACCGAAUUGAACCCAAAGAUAUUACUAACACUAGCUUGAAUCACCGUUAAAAUUAGAAGUUUAUCGUUUUAUAGCGAACAGCUCACUCCUUCCAGUUUAGAUGCACAAGGUUCCACUGAAAUACCACAAAAUAUUACAUCAUGCACUUCGUGUGAUGUUAUAGCUAAUAAUUGCAUGAAUUUGUAUAACUUUUUCAACCUCGUGCGAGACAGAUGGAAGAAAGAUGAGACUGAGCAUGAAGAAUACAAGACAUGGUCUGGCCAUAAGACAUCGAUGGUUGAGAGUUCAUAUGAAGUUCAGCUUUGUGUGUUUUCCCUAACCCAGAUGGCAGCAUCCGUGGCCGAACAUCUCUAAAGCUUAAGAUCGAACUGCGACAGAAGUGGUAUACCUUCUUUAAUAAAGUGGGAUUUUUGCCAUUAUCAUCUCUGUGAUCAUCCACUGCGGACAUUGUCCUAUAUCACUGCUGUCGGAUGUAUGCGGCUGGUUUUGUCUGGCACCUCUGUUAAGCCAUGGGUGGACCUGAAAGAAGUUAAAAACUCCAGGCAUCACAGCUCUCUACUUCCCUGGUGGUGCUAUGUUACAUUUAGAAAAAAAAAUAGUUUUUGGAUUUUCAGUAUUUCUGAAUACAAGAAUAGAAGUUUUACCUGUCUGUCUAUUUAUUGCCAUGAACAAAGCAGCCAAACUUUUCUUUUUUUUUUAGUUUGGAGUGCAGAAGAUAUUGCCCAGAGGCUGGUUUACAGACUCAGAUGAACCUAAGGUCUUGAUGCUAGCAGGCUCUGACAGAGAUUCCUGCAAGGAUAUGCAGGUUCUCACCUAAUCAGCAGAGAGAAGCUACAUAAUUUACCAUAACCAGGCGGACAGCAGGAGCUGCACCUUAAGGUCGGAGCUGGACAGACAUGGUCACAUCCAGACCUUUUUCUGUGCUCCGCCAGAGCUGGGUUUUUCACCCUUUUCUCUCCUGUAAUACUGAGGUAAUACACUCCAGCGUGUCACACUUCUCAAGGCCUGGCAUGGCACCUGGGCCUCGAAGACCCGUGGAAGCCAUUACGUCAUCCGCACGUCCGAUCUGACCGAGCCGAACUCAUCCCUGCUCAGCUGAUCGUCACGUGCAGCUUUGCGAGUUCUGCAUUCUGCUGCACGCGACCAAGAACGCAGGCGGAGACAAGGGAGGAGCAAUGCGGAAGGAAACGCUGAUGCCAGGAAACCGCACGCCAGUCUAGUGGUCUCUCUCUGCCACUGACGUUCGGACGAACGCCUGAUCGAAUUGUGACAGGUCGACAGUCCGCUGUGGACGGUUACCCCAGAAACGAGAAGCGCGGAUGGGUGUAACAGCCUGGUCAUCUGUUUCUGUCCACAGCGACAGCUGCUCUUCUCCCUCAAAUACAGGUAAAUAAGUUUAAAUCCCUUGACUCUCAACCACAUGCAGAAAUUAACAAAGUUCUUUCGGUGAUGAUUAUGGAAAUAUUAUCACGAUGCCUAACAAAUUGUAUGCAUAUAUUUAGCAGGGGAUGAACCGAGGGCCGUACAACACUGUACAAAGCAAUGAAUUCUUUAUGAAGUUUAGCUAUUUUGGUGGGGCGGGGUCACGGCCCCUGAUUAAAGGCAGGUGUCACGCUUCAUCCCGUGUGAAUCUUGGGGUCUAACUGAGGCCAAACCGCGUAAAUCUGAUGAAUCACUGAGUCUUUAUUCGACUGUAACUGGGAUUUCUCUUCCAACCGACAGAAAGGGCGAAACAUAGUGUUAUUCUCGCAGAGGGGCAGGUGGUGCUGUGGGGGGUCAUGUGGAAGGAGCUUGAAGUUCAGGUGAGGGGUGCUGCACUAGCACCCCUCAAGGUCUUAUCAAGUAGCCCGUCGGAUUGAGGAUCAGAGCCCGUCGAACACAUCGGGGUGGAUUUAAAUACGUUUGCUGGGUAUGUGAUGCAGUAUGAAAAUAUGCAUUUCAAAGUGACAUUCUGAGUAAGGCAACCUGAGACGAGACA